RNAcentral lists this ribosomal RNA (1155 nucleotides) under Triticum aestivum (bread wheat). RNAcentral's name for it is "partial small subunit ribosomal RNA". Lineage: Eukaryota; Viridiplantae; Streptophyta; Magnoliopsida; Poales; Poaceae. The record is from RNAcentral.
AUGAAUACAAGAAUGGUAAGUAGGCCCCAGCUCUUGGUGUCCGAUCAGCAAACCACGAGCGCCAUGUGGAAUUUACAGCUCACCCAUCUGCACAAGAUUAUUUCUCGUCAUAUUAUUCCUGAAGAUUAUGAACAUUAUCUCGUCCGAUCUCUCCCCACCCCAGAGAGGGUCCGGAGGCACGCAUCACACAUCGGGCGACCUGUACUUGUACACGUGGAAGCUCGCCUGCGGCGCCACAGCGGCCAGGAAGACCCUGGCCGUCGCCUCCUGCGCCGCCACCGCCCCAUCCUUCUCCACCAGCGCCGCCGCCACCACAUCGCCGGCGGAGCCGCCGGAGGCGGCAAUCAUCGCAAUGAUGGCCGUCUGCACGGGGCCCAGCGUCGGGUUGUACGCCGCGGACUCCAGGCAGCCCCCGGCGUACACCUUCCCCUCGCCGUCCGCCACCGCGAACCCCGACGGGCACCCGCUGUAUGGCGCGUGCGCCGCGCGCGCCGCCGCCUCCGCGGCAUCCUUCAGGCGCCCCUCCAGGUCGCCGGCGGCGAAGCCAUUGGCGACGGCGUCAACGGGAUCGCCGAGGCGGUUGUCGUGCGGCUCGAGGACGAGGGGGGCGUCCUUGGGGAGGAGGUCAUGGGGGCCGAAGGGGCGGGGCAGGAGCGACGCCAGCGAGCGCCACUCGGCCGCGCAGCCGUCGGCGGCGUCGGAGGUCACCAGGAUGCGGAUCCCGGCGGCGCCGCGGAUCUCCUGGAGGAACUGCCGGCAGUGGCCGCAAGGCAUGUGGGAGACGGCGAUGGCGCGCAGCGCGGGCUCCCCGGCGGCAGCGGCGUUGGCGAUGAGGAACUGCUCGGCGUGGACCACCUGGGAGAGAGGGGCGCCCAGGAACUCGAGGUUCACGCCGGCGUACACGCGCCCGCUCUCGCCCAGCCCGACGGCGCCCACGGGGAACCGCGAGAUCGGGGGGCGCGCGCGCCGCAUCGCGGAAGGGAUCAGCAGGGGCAGCAGGUCCUCCACCGUCUCCACCCCGGCCGCCGCGGCCGCGCGCUCCGCCUCGUCAGCGCUCAUCACAAAUCCUGGCAGCUCGACGGCCUCAGGCUUCGCCGUCAUCCUCUCCUCCCCCAUUGCUCAGAUCUAACGCGAAACUGUGUUGUCACUCUAUGA